RNAcentral lists this non-coding RNA (23 nucleotides) under Arabidopsis thaliana (thale cress). Lineage: Eukaryota; Viridiplantae; Streptophyta; Magnoliopsida; Brassicales; Brassicaceae. The record is from RNAcentral.
UAGAUGGACAUGUUGAAUGGAUC